AGCAGUCGCCGCGGUAAUACGUAGGGUGCAAGCGUUAAUCGGAAUUACUGGGCGUAAAGCGUGCGUAGGCGGUGAGUUAAGUCUGUUGUGAAAUCCCCGGGCUCAACCUGGGAAUGGCAGUGGAUACUGGCUCGCUAGAGUGUGUCAGAGGAUGGUGGAAUUCCCGGUGUAGCGGUGAAAUGCGUAGAGAUCGGGAGGAACAUCAGUGGCGAAGGCGGCCAUCUGGGACAACACUGACGCUGAGGCACGAAAGCGUGGGGAGCAAACAGGAUUAGAUACCCCCGUAGUCCCUGUCUCUUAUAC
Molecule: ribosomal RNA, 303 nt
Filed under: uncultured bacterium
Lineage: Bacteria
Description: partial 16S ribosomal RNA
Rfam family: Bacterial small subunit ribosomal RNA
Source: RNAcentral